GAUGAACGCUGGCGGCGUGCUUAACACAUGCAAGUCGAACGGAAAGUCCCCUGCCUGCAGGGGUACUCGAGUGGCGAACGGGUGAGUAACACGUGGGUGAUCUGCCCUGUACUUCGGGAUAAGCUCGGGAAACUGGGUCUAAUACCGGAUAUGACAUUCUCCUGGAUGGGGGUGUGGAGAGCUUUUGCGGUAUGGGAUGAGCUCGCGGCCUAUCAGCUUGUUGGUGGGGUAGUGGCUUACCAAGGCUUUGACGGGUAGCCGGCCUGAGAGGGUGUGCGGCCACAUUGGGACUGAGAUACGGCCCAGACUCCUACGGGAGGCAGCAGUGGGGAAUAUUGCACAAUGGGCGGAAGCCUGAUGCAGCAACGCCGCGUGGGGGAUGACGGCCUUCGGGUUGUAAACUCCUUUCGCAACCGACGAAGCUUUUGUGACGGUAAGUUGAGAAGAAGCACCGGCUAACUACGUG
Molecule: ribosomal RNA, 466 nt
Filed under: uncultured bacterium
Lineage: Bacteria
Description: partial 16S ribosomal RNA
Rfam family: Bacterial small subunit ribosomal RNA
Source: RNAcentral